RNAcentral lists this ribosomal RNA (465 nucleotides) under uncultured bacterium. Its description in RNAcentral is "partial 16S ribosomal RNA". It matches the Rfam family "Bacterial small subunit ribosomal RNA", at positions 338 to 795 of the family's 1533-position model. The record is from RNAcentral.
CCUACGGGAGGCAGCAGUGGGGAAUAUUGCGCAAUGGGCGAAAGCCUGACGCAGCGACGCCGCGUGAGGGAUGAAGGUCUUCGGAUCGUAAACCUCUGUCAGCAGGGAAGUACGGUCACUGUGCUAAUCAGCAGUGAAUUGACGGUACCUGCAAAGGAAGCAACGGCUAACUCCGUGCCAGCAGCCGCGGUAAUACGGAGGGGGCGAGCGUUAAUCGGAAUUACUGGGCGUAAAGCGCUCGUAGGCGGGAUGUCAAGUCAAGGGUGAAAUCCCCGCGCUCAACGUGGGAACGGCCUUUGAAACUGGCAAACUUGAGUGUGUGAGAGGAUAGUGGAAUUCCAGGUGUAGGAGUGAAAUCCGUAGAUAUCUGGAGGAACAUCAGUGGCGAAGGCGACUAUCUGGCACAUAACUGACGCUGAGGAGCGAAAGCGUGGGUAGCAAACAGGAGUAGAUACCCUUGUAGUC